Molecule: long non-coding RNA, 641 nt
Organism: Eublepharis macularius
Lineage: Eukaryota; Metazoa; Chordata; Lepidosauria; Squamata; Eublepharidae
Exons: 3
Source: RefSeq, a predicted model, not a curated record
UUAACUUUUAAUCCUGAGUUUAACUCAAAGUCUUCUAAUAUAAUUUUUGUCUCUUUGACUCCUUCUUUCGGAUUAGAUAUAACUAUGAUCAGGUCAUCUGCAAAUAAGUUUAAUUUAAUUUCUUCCUUGCCUAUUUGACAUCCCUCUAUCCUCCCAGAGUUCCUAAUGCGUUGAGCUAGUUGUUCUAUAGCCAUUAUGAAGAGGAACGGGGAAAGCGGACAUCCUUGCCUAACUCCUCUCUGAAUUGAGAAUUGUGAGGUGAUGAACAAACCGCGCGUGAAGCUGCUGCAGAGGAGGGUCCUUCGACAAGUGGCCAAACAGCCCCCCAGCUAGACUCAGGAGGAGAACGAUAGAGGACAUUCUCUCUGCUGUGGAGGGGAUGGAAGCGAGACUGGGCGCCUCCAUAAACAACUUACAGGAGAGGAUGACUUCAAUGGAGGGCCGUUUCAGAAGGUUGGGCCGAAGGGUGACAUCGAUCGAAAGGCGAGAACGCCAAAGAGACCAUCCCUCAACCACGUGAUUGGUCUCUCUCCUCCGCCUCUUUCUGUAAAUAGUUAAAGAUUGUUCUUUUCCCACCAAAGGUUCAAGAAUCACAGUUAUUUAAAUGUUCUUUUUUUGCAACACAGUUAUAAUUGAAAUCA